GAUGGCACUGGCAGGAGGUCUGAAGGCAGAGGGACAGUGAGAUUGUGAUAUUUACUCCCCUGGCUCUCUCCCUGCUGGGUUGUGAGUUGGCUGCGUUGCUCUAUUAAACACCACAGCUACCAUAUGAAGACCUCCUCAAAACAGCUUUCUCUUGCAUCAGGAGAGACUGCCUACCUGGGAAGAGCUGGGAAAGAGAUUCCCUUUCUGUAGGGGCAGUCCAGCGGAGGUUCCUUCAAAAGAAUAUGCUUCCAUGAGCAUCCUUAUGUUUUGGAACUGCUUUCCAGAAAACAUUACCUUUUGGGAACGAGAAUCCAUUUAAAAAAUCUCAGGUCCCAGCAAUGAGAAGGAAUAUCUAACCUUAAAAGCAACUGCACAUUUCUCUUGUCCUUGACAAUACAAGAGCUCAUACAAGACAACACGAAGGCUAAAUGAGUAAUUUUUUCCCUUCGCAUGAAAGGACGAGAGGUGUCAGAAAAUGAAGUCUAAAUCUGCUUCAGGAAGGAAGGAAAUGAGAGAAGCUAGGAAAACAGCACUUCCUCCUAUGGUUUAUGUCGCUGGAGUUCACUCUGGACAGAAGGUCAGCAGUCACAGCCAGGUUCCUCAGAGAUUCUUCAGAUAACUAGCAACAGAUGAGGGAAAAGCAGGACCCCUCUUGGCCGCAGCAUCCCCACAUGGCUGAGAAGCACGGCCUGGGCCAUCUGCUCUUCAACAGCGGCCUCCUACCCUGCGUGCCCCCAGGACCGCAGCACUGACUCACCACACGGACUCUGGUUCCACAGGGUACAGAAUGUCGAACUGGAAGAACAAAUGAAAACCCUGCGCUGGCUUAGGUGAGCUGACCAGAGAAACUAGGGUAGGAAAGUAAAGGAAUCUGCUGUCCUAUACCGUCUGAAACUACUUAUAUUGCAACACUUUGCUGAUUUCAAACUUGGCCCAAGUUGGAAGGCAACAACUCCAGAUGGAACAGGAUACAUGUCAGAGUUUCCACCAAUCGUGGAAGGCCGCCUCAGUCCUUCUCAGGAUUUAAACUGAGCAACCCUUAUCUAAACCACCCGAACACUUCUAUAAAUUUUUUUUGUUUUACGAAAGACAGAAUUUAAAAUAAGAAAGCUUCAGGAUUGACUCUCACAGUACAGUAGUUUUAACUAAUUUACAGCGUCUACGCCACCCAUAUUAAACUGCUGUUUUCCUUCCA
Molecule: long non-coding RNA, 1195 nt
Organism: Homo sapiens (human)
Lineage: Eukaryota; Metazoa; Chordata; Mammalia; Primates; Hominidae
Exons: 2
Source: RefSeq, a predicted model, not a curated record